RNAcentral lists this ribosomal RNA (253 nucleotides) under uncultured bacterium. Its description in RNAcentral is "partial 16S ribosomal RNA". It matches the Rfam family "Bacterial small subunit ribosomal RNA", at positions 524 to 776 of the family's 1533-position model. The record is from RNAcentral.
UACGGAGGGUGCAAGCGUUGCUCGGAAUUACUGGGCGUAAAGCGUACGCAGGCUGUCCGUUAAGUCGGGUGUGAAAGCCCGGGGCUCAACCCCGGAAUUGCGCCCGAAACUGACGGGCUUGAGUACCGGAGAGGGCAGUGGAAUUCCAGGUGUAGCGGUGAAAUGCGUAGAUAUCUGGAGGAACACCGGUGGCGAAGGCGGCAUCCUGGACCGGUAUUGACGCUGAGGCGCGAAAGCCAGGGGAGCAAACGGG